Molecule: transfer RNA, 92 nt
Filed under: Chloroflexota bacterium
Lineage: Bacteria; Bacillati; Chloroflexota
Description: Chloroflexi bacterium (soil metagenome) tRNA-Ser
Rfam family: tRNA
About the family: Transfer RNA (tRNA) molecules are approximately 80 nucleotides in length. Their secondary structure includes four short double-helical elements and three loops (D, anti-codon, and T loops). Further hydrogen bonds mediate the characteristic L-shaped molecular structure. tRNAs have two regions of fundamental functional importance: the anti-codon, which is responsible for specific mRNA codon recognition, and the 3' end, to which the tRNAs corresponding amino acid is attached (by aminoacyl-tRNA synthetases). tRNAs cope with the degeneracy of the genetic code in two manners: having more than one tRNA (with a specific anti-codon) for a particular amino acid; and 'wobble' base-pairing, i.e. permitting non-standard base-pairing at the 3rd anti-codon position.
Source: RNAcentral
GGGGAGGUCGCAUAGAGGCCGAGUGCGAGGGUUUGCUAAACCCUUACAGGGGGUUUCUCCUGUCGCGGGUUCGAAUCCCGCCCUCCCCGCAA